RNAcentral lists this ribosomal RNA (273 nucleotides) under unidentified marine bacterioplankton. Its description in RNAcentral is "partial 16S ribosomal RNA". It matches the Rfam family "Bacterial small subunit ribosomal RNA", at positions 82 to 339 of the family's 1533-position model. RNAcentral also lists the same sequence under 1 other name. The record is from RNAcentral.
CUCCGAGACCCGAGUGGCGAACGGGUGAGUAACACGUGACCAACCUAUCCUAGGGCGGGGGACAACCCGGUGAAAACUGGGCUAAUACCGCAUUACGUCUCUUCUUCACAUGUUGAGGAGAUCAAAGAGGGCCUCUGCUUGCAAGCUCUCACCCCAGGAGGGGGUCGCGACGUAUCAGCUUGUUGGCGGGGUAACGGCCCACCAAGGCUAUGACGCGUAGCGGAUCUGAGAGGAUGAUCCGUCACAUUGGGACUGAGAUACGGCCCAGACUCC